RNAcentral lists this ribosomal RNA (253 nucleotides) under uncultured bacterium. RNAcentral describes it as "partial 16S ribosomal RNA". It matches the Rfam family "Bacterial small subunit ribosomal RNA", at positions 524 to 776 of the family's 1533-position model. The record is from RNAcentral.
UACGGAGGGUGCAAGCGUUGUCCGGAAUCACUGGGCGUAAAGGGCGCGUAGGCGGCUCGGUAAGUAGGGGGUGAAAUCCUGCGGCUUAACCGCAGGGCUGCCUUCUAAACUGUCGAGCUUGAGCACGGUAGAGGCAGAUGGAAUUCCCGGUGUAGCGGUGGAAUGCGUAGAGAUCGGGAAGAACACCGGUGGCGAAGGCGGCCUGCUGGGCAGUGGCUGACGCUGAGGCGCGACAGCGUGGGGAGCAAACAGG